This 234-nucleotide ribosomal RNA is filed under the name uncultured bacterium. RNAcentral's name for it is "partial 16S ribosomal RNA". It matches the Rfam family "Bacterial small subunit ribosomal RNA", at positions 15 to 244 of the family's 1533-position model. The record is from RNAcentral.
GAUCCUGGCUCAGGACGAACGCUGGCGGCGCGCCUAACACAUGCAAGUCGAACGAGAGAUGAGGAGCUUGCUCUUCAAAUCGAGUGGCGGACGGGUGAGUAACGCGUGGAUAACCUGCCUCACACAGGGGGAUAACAGUUGGAAACGACUGCUAAUACCGCAUAAGCCCACGGGUCGGCAUCGAUCUGAGGGAAAAGGAGCAAUCCGCUUUGAGAUGGCCUCGCGUCCGAUUAG